CCCGCCCCUUCUUUCGUGCUUCUCGCCACUGGUAUCAUUUUCUCCCAAUCAUAUCUCUUCCUCGCGCCGUUUGUUCAUCUUCAACGUGUCAACGUGGAGAUCUUGGGGCUGGAUCCAUUUUGGCAAUCAAGGCAAUCAAAUCACUUUUUCCUCAUUGUGUAUCACUUAUUAAAUUUGCUCAAAUCCAUCAUGAGUUCAAUAUCUAGGGUUUUCUACCAUUUCCUGCCGAUUCGUCUUCGUUCCUCUUCAUCCAGAGGGUUCAUAGUUCGUUUCCCCUUCUUCCGCGGCUUCCUCUGUUCGCCCACUCGAUUUGUACUAGAUUCAUGCUUUCUCACCAAUCCGCCAUGACCAGGGUCAUCAUGUGGUAUCAGAGAGGCGCGUCCGCUUGAGCUAAGUGUUUUUCUUUAUUUUUCUGUGUUGUAAAUUUGUUUCGAUUCAUUUGUUUUGAGUGUUUGUCUUGAUCUGUGUGUGCCAUUUACUUUGUAACAAUGACAACAGUUGGAUAUGAAGAUUUUGUGCUAGAUAGCAAACUGUCAAAACUUCUUGCUUACAUUUACAUCUUCACUGGAAUGACUAACUAUUGUAGGACUAAUUCUUAGCAAGGCAACAGAUUAUAUUGUUGAAAAGCAGGAAAUAUAAACUGUCAAGGGUGAAAAUAUUGGUCCAGAACAACUUUCCAAAGUGGUUGAAACCAACAAAGACGGUGGUAAAGGCCAGCUUGGUCAAGCUAAUGACGCAUGAAAAAGAAAAGAAAGGUACCUUUUGAAGAAUUUCCAGAGCUUGUGGCUGGGCGGAAAGUAUUAAUUAGUCAAGGAUAUGCAUAUGUUGCAAUGAAUCAGGUUGACUGAUGUAAAUACUUGUUACUUCUUGCUUUGAAUCGCCAGAUGAUAUAGCUUGAAGGAAUAAAUCUUAAAAAAUGUUCGGGAACAUUAGUUUUUAAGUAAAAUUGCCUAAGAUGUUUUUAAGUAAUAAAAUAAAAUAAAGUAUCUAAGGGAUCACAUGAAAGGUUGAGGUUUGUGUAUACUAUCUGCAAUAGGUUUGACCUGACACCAUAUUGUUAGUUUUCAACUAAGCCAUGACAAUGCUUUCUCUAUGUUUGGUAUUGAACUGUUAUAUAUUGAGAAUAAUACAUUCUCUAUAAAACAUUCUUGUAAAUGUUGCCCUCAUAGUUGUAUUUGGAGUAUAUUUGUUUAAUUGGAUGGACUUUAAUACAAAUUGGCAGAAAGGUGAAAGGCAUAAAAUUCACUUGACUAAUGAUUAUUUCACAAAUUGCAAAUGGCAACUGUUCUUCAAUUUGUUCCUCUGUAAGUAUUAAUCGAAGAUUCUACUCUCG
Molecule: long non-coding RNA, 1333 nt
Organism: Vigna radiata var. radiata (mung bean)
Lineage: Eukaryota; Viridiplantae; Streptophyta; Magnoliopsida; Fabales; Fabaceae
Exons: 4
Source: RefSeq, a predicted model, not a curated record